Molecule: transfer RNA, 84 nt
Filed under: bacterium
Lineage: Bacteria
Description: tRNA-Leu
Rfam family: tRNA
About the family: Transfer RNA (tRNA) molecules are approximately 80 nucleotides in length.
Source: RNAcentral
GCCGAAGUGGUGAAACUGGAAUACACGCAGCGUUCAGGGCGCUGUGGGAGUAAUCCCUUGUGGGUUCGAAUCCCACCUUCGGCA